This 301-nucleotide ribosomal RNA is filed under the name uncultured bacterium. RNAcentral describes it as "partial 16S ribosomal RNA". It matches the Rfam family "Bacterial small subunit ribosomal RNA", at positions 509 to 807 of the family's 1533-position model. The record is from RNAcentral.
CAGUAGCCGCGGUAAUACGUAGGUGGCAAGCGUUGUCCGGAAUUAUUGGGCGUAAAGCGCGCGCAGGUGGUUUAAUAAGUCUGAUGUGAAAGCCCACGGCUCAACCGUGGAGGGUCAUUGGAAACUGUUAAACUUGAGUGCAGGAGAGAAAAGUGGAAUUCCUAGUGUAGCAGUGAAAUGCGUAGAGAUUAGGAGGAACACCAGUGGCGAAGGCGGCUUUUUGGCCUGUAACUGACACUGAGGCGCGAAAGCGUGGGGAGCAAACAGGACUAGAUACCCCAGUAGUCCCUGUCUCUUAUAC